RNAcentral lists this ribosomal RNA (234 nucleotides) under uncultured bacterium. Its description in RNAcentral is "partial 16S ribosomal RNA". It matches the Rfam family "Bacterial small subunit ribosomal RNA", at positions 524 to 754 of the family's 1533-position model. The record is from RNAcentral.
UACGGAGGGUGCAAACGUUGCUCGGAAUCAUUGGGCGUAAAGCGCACGUAGGCGGCUCGUUAAGUCGGGUGUGAAAGCCCUCGGCUCAACCGAGGAAGUCGCAUUCGAAACUGGCGAGCUUGAAUAUGGAAGAGGGUCGCGGAAUUCCCGGAUGUGAGAGGUGAAAUUCGUAGAUAUCGGGAGGAACACCAGUGGCGAAGGCGGCGACCUGGGCCAAUACUGACGCUGAGGUGC